UGUAGACGGCGCAAUACUUUUUUGUAAACGUUGUUUCAGCACUGUGGACCUUAGAGGCUUGCUAAAGAAAACGGCCAAUUCGGAUGAUUGUUUGAAACAUUUUGAAGGGAAUCAUCAUAGCUUUGAACAUUGGACCGAUUGCGUUAAGUAAUUAGGCUUGCCUACUUAUUGUUUAGAACCGAUUGCAUGAUCACGCUUGGGGAGCGUGACCAUGUGGCCAACAAUGACUACCAAAGCGCGCACUUUAUCAGAACUUUUGCAGAGACAGUACGCAUUUUACGCGUGUCUCACUUUAAUUUUACAAUUUGCAAAGCCCGGCGAAGGUUGCAAUUCUCAAAGUGUAGGCGUCUUGCUUCUCUGUAGGGCUUGUGGACAUGAAUUGGCAUUUGAAAGAGAUGCCAAGUUCGUACCUAGUCGACUUGCGCUUUCACAUAGAAAUGACACAGUGCUUGGGGAUAAAAUAGUCCCCGUCCAGCUGUUCGAAAACCCACAUGGUCAUCAAUUUGAAGUUAUGACAUUCACAAGGGCUGACGUUUUCAAACACUUUCCUGCAGAUAAGCACUUUUCCUGGUAUCCUGGAUACUCAUGGGCUAUAGCCACAUGCAGAACAUGCCACACGCACCUUGGUUGGGCGUUUCAGCCAAAUAACUGGUCGAGGACAGUCACACAAGGAGAGUUCGAAGAAUCAGAGCACACCUUUCUAGCUUUGAUCACUCACCGAUUACUGAAAGAAGAUUUCGCAUCUUCACUUCUUAUUAUUCCCAAAGCAUUAAGAGCAUGACUUGUCUGUAACCUUGACCUUGUCAGAAUUGCAAAUAAAAAUCUAAUGUUUUAUUGCCAGUUUGCAUUACUGUCACUCACUGUUCUAGUUUUCGACUUUUUAAAAAACAUCCAUAAGAUCACACGCAUACACAUUACGUUUUAUUGUAACAAAGCAACUUGUACACCUCAAAUUUAAAACAUAAUUUUCCCAGCAGAAAAGAAAAUGGUGACCAGAUGUAAAUUCCAUGAGUAAACCAGUCAUUUUCCAAUAAGUAGUGGGGGCCAAAAUGUACAAGUGUUUCUCUUUUUUUUUCGGUUUUGUGUUCUUUAUUAAAAAUGUCAUCUCAUGGAUAUCUGUAAAACAAUACAAUGAAAAUCAAAACAAA
This is a long non-coding RNA of Hypomesus transpacificus, 1148 nucleotides long. RefSeq lists it as uncharacterized. The transcript has 2 exons. The record is from RefSeq and is a predicted model, not a curated record. NCBI's taxonomy places the organism in Eukaryota, Metazoa, Chordata, Actinopteri, Osmeriformes, Osmeridae.